RNAcentral lists this ribosomal RNA (497 nucleotides) under uncultured bacterium. RNAcentral describes it as "partial 16S ribosomal RNA". It matches the Rfam family "Bacterial small subunit ribosomal RNA", at positions 28 to 507 of the family's 1533-position model. The record is from RNAcentral.
GAUGAACGCUGGCGGCGUGCCUAAUACAUGCCAGUCGAGCGAACAGACGAGGAGCUUGCUCCUCUGACGUUAGCGGCGGACGGGUGAGUAACACGUGGAUAACCUACCUAUAAGACUGGGAUAACUUCGGGAAACCGGAGCUAAUACCGGAUAAUAUAUUGAACCGCAUGGUUCAAUAGUGAAAGACGGUUUUGCUGUCACUUAUAGAUGGAUCCGCGCCGCAUUAGCUAGUUGGUAAGGUAACGGCUCACCAAGGCAACGAUGCGUAGCCGACCUGAGAGGGUGAUCGGCCACACUGGAACUGAGACACGGUCCAGACUCCUACGGGAGGCAGCAGUAGGGAAUCUUGCGCAAUGGGCGAAAGCCUGACGGAGCAACGCCGCGUGAGUGAUGAAGGUCUUCGGAUCGUAAAACUCUGUUAUUAGGGAAGAACAAAUGUGUAAGUAACUAUGCACGUCUUGACGGUACCUAAUCAGAAAGCCACGGCUAACUACGUG